GCCCUUGCAUCGAUGAAGAACGCAGCGAAAUGCGAUAAGUAGUGUGAAUUGCAGAAUUCAGUGAAUCAUCGAAUCUUUGAACGCACAUUGCGCCCCUUGGUAUUCCAUGGGGCAUGCCUGUUCGAGCGUCAUU
Molecule: ribosomal RNA, 133 nt
Filed under: uncultured Epicoccum
Lineage: Eukaryota; Fungi; Ascomycota; Dothideomycetes; Pleosporales; Leptosphaeriaceae
Description: partial 5.8S ribosomal RNA
Rfam family: 5.8S ribosomal RNA
About the family: 5.8S ribosomal RNA (5.8S rRNA) is a component of the large subunit of the eukaryotic ribosome. It is transcribed by RNA polymerase I as part of the 45S precursor that also contains 18S and 28S rRNA.
Source: RNAcentral